UGAGCUUGAUCCUGGCUCAGGACGAACGCUGGCGGCGUGCCUAAUACAUGCAAGUCGAGCGGACUGAUGGGAGCUUGCUCCCUGAUGUUAGCGGCGGACGGGUGAGUAACACGUGGGCAACCUGCCUGUAAGACUGGGAUAACUCCGGGAAACCGGGGCUAAUACCGGAUAACCCGUUCCACCUCAUGGUGGAGCGGUAAAAGAUGGCCUCUGGCUAUCACUUACAGAUGGGCCCGCGGCGCAUUAGCUAGUUGGUAAGGUAACGGCUUACCAAGGCGACGAUGCGUAGCCGACCUGAGAGGGUGAUCGGCCACACUGGGACUGAGACACGGCCCAGACUCCUACGGGAGGCAGCAGUAGGGAAUCUUCCGCAAUGGACGAAAGUCUGACGGAGCAACGCCGCGUGAGUGAUGAAGGUUUUCGGAUCGUAAAGCUCUGUUGUUAGGGAAGAACAAGUGCCGUUUGAAUAAGGCGGCACCUUGACGGUACCUAACCAGAAAGCCACGGCUAACUACGUGCCAGCAGCCGCUGUAU
RNAcentral lists this ribosomal RNA (534 nucleotides) under Bacillus sp. M9-C11. RNAcentral describes it as "bacterial SSU rRNA". It matches the Rfam family "Bacterial small subunit ribosomal RNA", at positions 1 to 523 of the family's 1533-position model. The record is from RNAcentral. Lineage: Bacteria; Bacillati; Bacillota; Bacilli; Caryophanales; Bacillaceae.